GCUUGUGUGGCUCAGUCACUUGAGUGUCUGACUUCGGCUCAGGACUUCGGCUCUGACCUCAGCUCGUGGGUUCGAGCCCCACGUCGGGCU
Molecule: transfer RNA, 90 nt
Filed under: Felis catus (domestic cat)
Lineage: Eukaryota; Metazoa; Chordata; Mammalia; Carnivora; Felidae
Rfam family: tRNA
About the family: Transfer RNA (tRNA) molecules are approximately 80 nucleotides in length. Their secondary structure includes four short double-helical elements and three loops (D, anti-codon, and T loops).
Source: Rfam by way of RNAcentral